CAUGCAUUAGUGGGGUCCCUCAGCCUGGCCUGUGCCCUCUCGCAAUCCAGGACCCCUUGGGGAUGUUGGAGAGCAGGUUUCAGCCUGAUCCCACAGGCCAGGCCGAGGGACCCCACUGGUGCACG
RNAcentral lists this microRNA precursor (125 nucleotides) under Myotis lucifugus (little brown bat). Its description in RNAcentral is "mir-9193 microRNA precursor family". It matches the Rfam family "mir-9193 microRNA precursor family". Lineage: Eukaryota; Metazoa; Chordata; Mammalia; Chiroptera; Vespertilionidae. The record is from Rfam by way of RNAcentral.